GAAAGUAAUAAAGGGCGUAUGGGGGAUGCCUAGGCUCUUGGAGGCGAAGAAAGACGUGGUAAGCUGCGAUAAGCCUCGGGGAUUUGCAAACGAGAAUUGAUCCGAGGAUUUCUGAAUGGGACAACCCGGCAGGCAGAAGGCCUGUCACACGAAAGUGGGCCAACCCUCUGAACUGAAACAUCUUAGUAGGAGGAGGAAAAGAAAGAAACAUCGAUUUCCUAAGUAGCGGCGAGCGAACGGGAAACAGCCUAAACCACAAUUGUUACGGCAACUGUGGGGUUGUAGGACUGCAAUAUUCAAAUGACUGUGAACUGGAAUGUUCUGGAAAGUUCAUCCAUAGAGAGUGAAAGACUCGUACAGGCAAGCACGUCAGGCGAUAGCAGUAUCCUGAGUAGGGCGGGACACGAGGAAUCCUGUCUGAAUCCGCCGGGACCACCCGGUAAGGCUAAAUACUCCCAAGAGACCGAUAGUGAACCAGUACCGUGAGGGAAAGGUGAAAAGAACCCCGAACAGGGGAGUGAAAUAGAACCUGAAACCAUACGCUUACAACCUGUCGGAGCGGCUUCGUGCCGUGACGGCGUGCCUAUUGAAUAAUGAGCCUACGAGUUACUAAUCACUGGCAAGGUUAAGUGCACGGAUGCACGGAGCCGAAGCGAAAGCGAGUCUGAAUAGGGCGUUUAGUCAGUGGUUGUAGACGCGAAACCUUGCGAUCUACCCUUGAGCAGGUUGAAGGUUGGGUAAAACCAACUGGAGGACCGAACGAAUAAGCGUUGAAAAGCUUCUCGAUGACUUGAGGGUAGGGGUGAAAGGCUAAUCAAGCUGGGAAAUAGCUCGUACUCCCCGAAAUGCCUUUAGGGGCAGCGUUGUAAUUAAGAGUCUACUGGAGGUAGAGCUACUGAUUGGAUGCGGGGGCUUCACCGCCUACCAAAUCCUGACAAACUCCGAAUGCCAGUAGUAUGAUUUACAGCAGUGAGCGACCGGGUGCUAAUGUCCGGUUACGAGAGUGGAACAACACAGACCAGCAACUAAGGUCCCCAAGAGUAUACUAAGUUGAUCUAACGAUGUUUUGCUGCAGAGACAGCUAGGAUGUUAGCUUGGAAGCAGCUAUUCAUUCAAAGAGUGCGUAACAGCUCACUAGUCGAGCGGCAAAGCGUGGAUAAUAAACGGGCAUCAAGUAUACCACCGAAGUUCUGGGCACGAAAGUGCGGUAGGGGAGCAUUCCAUUCCGCGUUGAAGCCGAACCGUGAGGUUUGGUGGAGUGUAUGGAAAAGCAAAUGUAGGCAUGAGUAACGAUAAUGCGGGAGAGUAACCCGCACACCGCAAGACCAAGGUUUCCUGAUCAACGCUAAUCGGAUCAGGGUUAGUCGGGUCCUAAGGGUAAGCCGAACGGUGAUCUCGAUGGAUAAUCGGUUAAUAUUCCGAUACUGACAUAUACCUCGAUGGAGAGACGAAGGAACGUAAGUGCCGCCACCUGACGGAAUAGGUGGUUAAAGGGCUUAGGUAUAGGGGCAGAUUAAGAGUUAGUCCUUGCUGAAACCUGACAGUACAGAGAGCCUACGGGCAAUUUGAUAGUGCACCCAAGUCGACUUCCGAGAAAAUCUUCUAAGUUAUAGUAUAUGUCACCCGUACCGUAAACCGACACAGGUGGUCGAGGAGAGUAUCCUAAGGUGCUCGAGUGAAUCACGGUUAAGGAACUAGGCAAAUUAACCCCGUAACUUCGGGAAAAGGGGUCCCAUCGCGAGGUGGGCGCAGCGAAGAGGUCCAGGCGACUGUUUAUCAAAAACACAGGGCUCUGCAAAUUCGAAAGAAGACGUAUAGGGCCUGACACCUGCCCGGUGCUGGAAGGUUAAGAGGGGAUGUCAUCGCAAGAGAAGCAUUGAAUCGAAGCCCCAGUAAACGGCGGCCGUAACUAUAACGGUCCUAAGGUAGCGAAAUUCCUUGUCGGGU
This 1947-nucleotide ribosomal RNA is filed under the name human gut metagenome. Its description in RNAcentral is "bacterial LSU rRNA". It matches the Rfam family "Bacterial large subunit ribosomal RNA", at positions 1 to 1977 of the family's 2925-position model. The record is from RNAcentral. RNAcentral also lists the same sequence under 1 other name.